RNAcentral lists this transfer RNA (73 nucleotides) under Cordylochernes scorpioides. RNAcentral's name for it is "tRNA-Thr". It matches the Rfam family "tRNA". Rfam says of the family: Transfer RNA (tRNA) molecules are approximately 80 nucleotides in length. Their secondary structure includes four short double-helical elements and three loops (D, anti-codon, and T loops). Further hydrogen bonds mediate the characteristic L-shaped molecular structure. tRNAs have two regions of fundamental functional importance: the anti-codon, which is responsible for specific mRNA codon recognition, and the 3' end, to which the tRNAs corresponding amino acid is attached (by aminoacyl-tRNA synthetases). tRNAs cope with the degeneracy of the genetic code in two manners: having more than one tRNA (with a specific anti-codon) for a particular amino acid; and 'wobble' base-pairing, i.e. permitting non-standard base-pairing at the 3rd anti-codon position. Lineage: Eukaryota; Metazoa; Arthropoda; Arachnida; Pseudoscorpiones; Chernetidae. The record is from RNAcentral.
UCCAGGGUAGCCUAGUGGACAUGGCAUCUGCCCGGUAAGCGGAACACUGUGGGUUCGAUUCCCUUCCCUGGAC